Molecule: ribosomal RNA, 253 nt
Filed under: uncultured bacterium
Lineage: Bacteria
Description: partial 16S ribosomal RNA
Rfam family: Bacterial small subunit ribosomal RNA
Source: RNAcentral
UACGGGGGGGGUAAGCGUUGUUCGGAAUUACUGGGCGUAAAGGGCUCGUAGGCGGCCAACUAAGUCAUACGUGAAAUCCCUCAGCUUAACUGGGGAACUGCGUGUGAUACUGGAUGGCUUGGAUUUGGGAGAGGGAUGCGGAAUUCCAGGUGUAGCGGUGAAAUGCGUAGAUAUCAAGAGGAACACCUGAGGUGAAGACGGGUUGCUGGGCCAACACUGACGCUGAGGCGCGAAAGCCAGGGGAGCAAACGGG